GCAGACUGUGAACAAAGUUGGACAUGACCGUGCUACAAAAACCUCCGGCCUUUCUGAAGUUUCCGAGGUGCCAGUCAAGCAGGGAAAGAACAAAUGCAUGUACUCCGACAGCAGUGCGUCUGGAUUCUACACCAUUUACCCCGCCCUGCCAUCCUCACAUUGGAGAAGUUUGUAGAAGGAGAGGAUGAGACAGUCAAAGGAGCAGAGAUCAGGAAUAAAUUACUUGGUGUGUUCCAGCGGACUGAAAUAAUAGACGAAGGCGUAUUUUCUCCGUGGACCCUGU
RNAcentral lists this long non-coding RNA (283 nucleotides) under Chinchilla lanigera (long-tailed chinchilla). RNAcentral describes it as "lncRNA (ENSCLAG00000022312.1)". Lineage: Eukaryota; Metazoa; Chordata; Mammalia; Rodentia; Chinchillidae. The record is from RNAcentral.